Molecule: ribosomal RNA, 399 nt
Filed under: uncultured bacterium
Lineage: Bacteria
Description: partial 16S ribosomal RNA
Rfam family: Bacterial small subunit ribosomal RNA
Source: RNAcentral
AAUCUUAGACAAUGGGCGCAAGCCUGAUCUAGCCAUGCCGCGUGAGCGAUGAAGGCCUUAGGGUUGUAAAGCUCUUUCAGUGGGGAAGAUAAUGACUGUACCCACAGAAGAAGCCCCGGCUAACUCCGUGCCAGCAGCCGCGGUAAUACGGAGGGGGCUAGCGUUGUUCGGAAUUACUGGGCGUAAAGCGCACGUAGGCGGAUGGACAAGUCAGAGGUGAAAUCCCAGGGCUCAACCUUGGAACUGCCUUUGAAACUUUCCAUCUUGAGGUCGAGAGAGGUGAGUGGAAUUCCGAGUGUAGAGGUGAAAUUCGUAGAUAUUCGGAGGAACACCAGUGGCGAAGGCGGCUCACUGGCUCGAUACUGACGCUGAGGUGCGAAAGCGUGGGGAGCAAACAGG